Molecule: ribosomal RNA, 1320 nt
Filed under: Tetrastichus howardi
Lineage: Eukaryota; Metazoa; Arthropoda; Insecta; Hymenoptera; Eulophidae
Description: 16S ribosomal RNA
Source: RNAcentral
AAUGCACUAAUCUGCCAAAAUAAUAAAUUAAUUUUAUUAAAUUUUAUAAUAUUUUAUAUUAAUAUAAAGUCCUUUCGUACAAAAAUAUUAGAUUUAUUAAAAGAUAGAAACCGAUCUGGCUUACGCCGAUCUAAACUCAAAUCAUGUAAGAUUUUAAUAGUCGAACAGACUAAAAAUAAUUAUUUCUCCAUAAUAAUUUUAUCUUAAUUCAACAUCGAGGUCGCAAUCAAUUUUUUCAAUAUGAUCUCUUUAAAAUUAUUACGCUGUUAUCCCUAAGGUAAUUUAAUUUAUAUUCAAUAAUAUUGGAUAAAAAAUUCAUUAAUUAAUGUUAAUAAAUUAUAAAAAUUAAUUAAAUUUUAAUAUUUCCCCAAUAUAAUAAUAAUAAUAAAUUAUUUUAAAAUUAAUAAAUAAAUUUAACUAUAUUAUAAAAUUCUAUAGGGUCUUCUCGUCUUUUUAAUAAAUUUAAAAAUUUUUAUUUAAAAUAAAGUUUAAAUAUUAUUAAAUUUAUAAAGUUAUUAUUUCAUUAUUUCUUUCAUUCCAGACUUAAAUAAAAAGCCAAAUGAUUAUGCUACCUUUGUACAGUCAAAAUACUGCAGCUAUUUAAAAUUUCAUUGAGCAGAAAUUAUUUAAAAUUAUUAUCAAUAAACUAUGUUUUUAUUAAACAGUUGAAUAAUAUUUUUGCCUAAUUCAUUAAUUUAAUUUCUUAUAUAAUAUAAUUAUUUAUAUUAAAUUUUACUAAUUAAAUCAUUAUUUUUUUACUAAAAUUAUUAAAGUAAUUAAUUUUAUAAUUUUUAAAUAAUUUAUAUAAAUUUUAUUUAUAAUUAAUUAAUUAUAAAAAAUUAUUUAUUAAAAAAAAUUUUAAAAUUUAUAAAAUAAUAUUAAUUUAUAUUGAUAUAUUAUUAUUAUUAUUAAAUUUAUUUCUAAUAAUAUUAAAUAAAAUAAUAAUAAUAAUAAUAUAUUAAUUAAAAUUAUUUAUUUUAUUUUAAAUUAAAUUUAUUUAUAAAAUAACUAGAUAUUAUAAAUUUUGAUUAAAAUUUUUUUUCUAAUUUAUUAUUAAUAAUAUUAUUAAAACAAUAAUUAUUAUAAUAAAUUAAAUCAAUUUAUUUCGAGAAUUUUAAAAUUUUUAAUUAAAUUUAGAUUUACCCUGAUACCAAAGGUAAAAAUUAAUUAAAUUUUAUUUUAAAUUUAUUAAAAUUUUCUUUUACAAUACUAAAAUUAAAUUUUUAUUAUUUUUAAUUUAUUACUAAUAAAUUUUAAUUAUAUAAUUAUUUUUAUUAAUUUAAUUGAUUUUUAAAAUAUAAUAAUAUUUAAAAUUUUUAA